ACGGGAGGCAGCAGUGAGGAAUAUUGGUCAAUGGGCGGAAGCCUGAACCAGCCAAGUCGCGUGAAGGAUGAAGGUAUUAUGUAUUGUAAACUUCUUUAGACGUAGAGAAAUAAGGUGCUCGUGAGCACUGAUGCUAGUAUACGUAGAAUAAGGAUCGGCUAACUCCGUGCCAGCAGCCGCGGUAAUACGGAGGAUCCGGGCGUUAUCCGGAUUUAUUGGGUUUAAAGGGUGCGCAGGCGGCCCUGUAAGUCUGCGGUUAAAUCGUGGCGCUCACCUCCUUCCCGCCGUUGAUACUGCAGGGCUUGAUUGCGGUCGAGGUUGGCGGAAUUCGCCGUGUAGCGGUGAAAUGCAUAGAUAUGGCGAAGAACUCCGAUUGCGUAGGCAGCUGACUAGGCCGUAAAUGACGCUCAUGCACGAAAGUGCGGGGAUCGAACAGGAUUAGAUACCCUGGUA
This 453-nucleotide ribosomal RNA is filed under the name uncultured bacterium. Its description in RNAcentral is "partial 16S ribosomal RNA". It matches the Rfam family "Bacterial small subunit ribosomal RNA", at positions 341 to 792 of the family's 1533-position model. The record is from RNAcentral.